RNAcentral lists this ribosomal RNA (484 nucleotides) under uncultured bacterium. Its description in RNAcentral is "partial 16S ribosomal RNA". It matches the Rfam family "Bacterial small subunit ribosomal RNA", at positions 30 to 507 of the family's 1533-position model. The record is from RNAcentral.
AUUGAACGCUGGCGGCAGGCCUAACACAUGCAAGUCGAGCGGAUGAAGGGAGCUUGCUCCUGGAUUCAGCGGCGGACGGGUGAGUAAUGCCUAGGAAUCUGCCUGGUAGUGGGGGAUAACGUCCUGAAACGGGCGCUAAUACCGCAUACGUCCUGAGGGAGAAAGUGGGGGAUCUUCGGACCUCACGCUAUCAGAUGAGCCUAGGUCGGAUUAGCUAGUUGGUGGGGUAAAGGCCUACCAGGGCGACGAUCGGUAACUGGCCUGAGAGGAUGAGAGGUCACACUGGACGGGAGACGCGGUCCAGGCGCCUGCGGGGCGCAGCAGUGUGGAAUAUUGGACAGUGGGCGAGAACCUGAUCCAGCCGUGCCGCGUCUGUGAAGAAGGUCUUCGGAUUGUAAAGCACUUUAAGUUGGGAGGAAGGGCAGUAAGUUAAUACCUUGCUGUUUUGACGUUACCAACAGAAUAAGCACCGGCUAACUUCGUG